Molecule: long non-coding RNA, 224 nt
Organism: Pantherophis guttatus
Lineage: Eukaryota; Metazoa; Chordata; Lepidosauria; Squamata; Colubridae
Source: RefSeq, a predicted model, not a curated record
UCAGAAGCGAUCUGCGCAUGCGCAGAAGCAAGGCGCAUGCGCAAGCGAAGUGACGCGAAUAGCUACCUUACUGGUAGUAAAGAAAUAGAUCAUACAUCAGACUGGAGACAGACAAAAGAAACCAACAGCUUUCCUUCCUUCAGGAUGUGAAUGGAAUGGUAUGAAGGGAUGUAGAUACAAUAUAAAGUUUCUUUAACUUUAGCAAUCUGAAGAGAAGGAGCUUC